Molecule: non-coding RNA, 72 nt
Organism: Bacteroides sp. 43_108
Lineage: Bacteria; Pseudomonadati; Bacteroidota; Bacteroidia; Bacteroidales; Bacteroidaceae
Source: Rfam
GGGGCGUUAAAGCGCUCCAAAAUCAGUGUGUAGAUAGUGUAUCCUAUUGGCUGGGAACACGGUCUGUGAAUC